GACGAACGCUGGCGGCGUGCCUAGUACAUGCAAGUCGAACGCUUCUUUUUCCACCGGAGCUUGCUCCACCGGAAAAAGAGGAGUGGCGAACGGGUGAGUAACACGUGGGUAACCUGCCCAUCAGAAGGGUAUAACACUUGGAAACAGGUGCUAAUACCGUAUAAUCAUAGAAACCGCAUGGUUUUGAUUUGAAAGGCGCUUUCGGGUGUCGGUGAUGGAUGGACCCGCGGUGCAUUAGCUAGUUGGUGAGGUAACGGCUCACCAAGGCCACGAUGCAUAGCCGACCUGAGAGGGUGAUCGGCCACAUUGGGACUGAGACACGGCCCAAACUCCUACGGGAGGCAGCAGUAGGGAAUCUUCGGCAAUGGACGAAAGUCUGACCGAGCAACGCCGCGUGAGUGAAGAAGGUUUUCGGAUCGUAAAGCUCUGUUGUUAGAGAAGAACAAGGAUGAGAGUAACUGUUCAUCCCUUGACGGUAUCUAACCAGAAAGCCACGGCUAACUACGUGCCAGCCGCCGCGGUAA
This 524-nucleotide ribosomal RNA is filed under the name uncultured bacterium. Its description in RNAcentral is "partial 16S ribosomal RNA". It matches the Rfam family "Bacterial small subunit ribosomal RNA", at positions 28 to 523 of the family's 1533-position model. The record is from RNAcentral.